Molecule: long non-coding RNA, 327 nt
Filed under: Pelobates cultripes (western spadefoot toad)
Lineage: Eukaryota; Metazoa; Chordata; Amphibia; Anura; Pelobatidae
Source: RNAcentral
GAACUCAUUCAGAUACAAUGGCCUAAUACACAAGAAAACUGUUGGUGUAGAACCAGCUGCUGAUGGAAUGAGAGUAAUUGUCAUUCUGAAAAGGCGUGCAGGUCAACGCAAACCUGCUAUGUCCUAUGAAAACAUAACCAUCAACAAGAACUCCCGUGCUACUUUAAGCAGCUUUCGCCACAUUAUCUGCAAGAAUAACUACAGGAAGGACCUCCGCAUGGCUGCUCCCAGACGUGCAAGUGCUAUUCUAAAAAGUCAGAAACCUGUUGUGGUGAAAAAGAAGCGCACCCGGACUGCCAAGACUGCAUAACUUGUUCUGCGGAAUGC